AUUUAUAUAGUAUAAGAAUUAUUUUUAACUUCCAAUUAAAAGAUCUAUUAACAUAGUAUAAAUA
RNAcentral lists this transfer RNA (64 nucleotides) under Tenebroides mauritanicus (cadelle beetle). RNAcentral describes it as "tRNA-Gly". The record is from RNAcentral. Lineage: Eukaryota; Metazoa; Arthropoda; Insecta; Coleoptera; Trogossitidae.